Molecule: long non-coding RNA, 2829 nt
Organism: Cynoglossus semilaevis (tongue sole)
Lineage: Eukaryota; Metazoa; Chordata; Actinopteri; Pleuronectiformes; Cynoglossidae
Exons: 2
Source: RefSeq, a predicted model, not a curated record
ACUCACUCCAUCUCUGAGAAGACCAGACAGGGAUGAAACUUUAUGAAUUAGAUCAUUGGUACUCCAUGAACUGUAGGUGCAGAACACUGUUGUUGUUGUUGUGGUCCUCAUUACCAUAAGACCAGGUUAGGUUAACACUGAGGUGAUUCUUCGGGUCUGUACGUUUGUGUGGACGGAUAGAUGCAGCACAGACAUGAAGAAAUACCAGUUGAGCGGAAGAUUUAGUCUUAAAAAGUCUCUUGUUUUCCUUCUCUCUGUCUGUCUGUCUGUCUCCACACCUUCACCUUAAUCACCCCCUAUUCACAGAAACACAAUCUCUCAAUCCCAGCAUGCAUUUCUUCACUAAGGAAAGUCGUGUUUCCAGGUCACAAGACAAGAUUAGAGAAAGACAUUUCCUGAGUAGGUGUGACAUACUGCGAUUGUAUCGUAUCUAUCUGACAAUAGUAACGUAUACUCCAGGUGAACGAUCGAAAAAGGAAGAACAAUAGCUUCUUAUCAGGACGAAGAACUGGUGCAGCAUGUUUUGUGUUCGGAGAGAAACAUUACACUGUUGUCUUACAUCUGUCUUGGAUACAGCAGAGUGGGACCAUUAUGUCACGUCACCUCAAAGUUUUACUAAGUAUUGUAUCACUUACACCUGUCUCCCUCCUCAACGUUUAAGGAUAAGUGCAAAUAUAUCUUGAUGUUUCUGGCCACGUGUGAUGAGUCAACAGCUGCCAGAGUAACUCGAGGGACUUUGUUUGCACUGUCAAAAGUCUUUAUGUACAAAGUAUUACGAAGUCUCACUGAAAGUGCAAAGUCAACGGCUUGUAUUUAACUUGCUGUGCAGAGGUCAUCUGUUAAAGGACAGGAUUUAAAGUACGUGAACAAAAGUAUGACACAUUUACGUCAACAUAUUUCAGGUUAAAUAUUUUUAUAUAGACCAGGGCAUUAAAAAAACCCCUCCUAGUUUUAGAGCCUGUUUUGUUAACAUUAUCUAGUGGUGUUUUUUUAGAUGGGCGUACCUGCUCAGAAAGGUUCUCCCAUCAAAGAAAACAGCGUUACAAGUUCCAGGUUUCAGCUCUUUUAACCUGAACAGCAGGUUUUAAGGUUUUCAGCUUUCAGUUAGUUUAGACAACCAGACCGUCAGAGAAAUCUCUGAGUCAAAAGUGAAUCUCAAACACUGGUCUUGUGACAGGAAGAAGACGAUGUCCACAAGACUGUGUGCAUCUGUGCAGUUCAAAAGGUCAAAGAAACCAACAUGACAGCUUUCAACUAUAUCACAUCUGAGAGCUUCCGUUCAGUCCUGGGUUCUGACUUAUUUACUUUGCUCUCUGGAAAGCACAACCUUGUGGAUAAUCAUUAAACAAACCCUGGGUCACACGUUCAAGUCCUGAGUGUUUAAGUCUGUUCCAAAUAAUGUGACAGAACAUGGAGAGGAGGUGAGGAAGGUGACAACAUGGUGUCUCAACAAUCAUGAGUUCCACCGAUGACAAACCAUGUCUCCUGGUUCGACAGUCGACCAAGGUGACGUGAAAACAUAAUCCCAAGAAUUCCCUUCACCACAGUACAAUCCAACAGUAACAUUACUUCGACUACAGCUAACGUCCUAUGGAUUCACAUUUGCACCGGGUGAAGACUGCACUUUUGAACAGUCAAUAAAUUACAGCUUCUUGGUGUUGAAAAUAAAUUCUCACUGAUGCCUGUUUCUGUUGCAGUUCUCCCUGUUGGGCCGUCCCAACCCAUGGUGUGGGUUCACACCCAAAUUUCCAGAACAGGACAACAAAUGUCAGAAAAGAUUCAUGGCUGGAUUUUUUCCCCUCACAUUUGGUCUGGGUGGUGUUCAGAAAGUCACAGGCAUAAAAAUGCUUCAGAAAACACCCAACUGAACACUGCCUCAGUGUUUGACAUUGGGACAUUAGAGAAUCAUGGUUGAAUCGUACACACGUGACUCAUAAUUACCAUCUGCUUUUCUGUACACUGUAAACAUCACGAGACCAAAAUCAACUAUUUUCAAUUGACAUUGAUCAAAACCUCUGACUGUGGCUUCAACGCCACAACAAUGAGAAGAAGGAGAAAGAGAAUGUAGCUCUGGUUACAGGCUGAACAACAAACAGACACUUCUGUUUUUAAUACUGAUAGAUGAAGAAAAAGCUUCGAGACGAAUGUGUUUUUACAAAAGUAACGCCAACCAGGACAGAAGGGAAAUGACAGGUGGGAAACAGAAGAGUCCAGAACAGGGGUGUCCACGGUUUGUUGGCACGGGAGCUACUUUUCAAACGACCAGAACAAAGUGAUCUAUUCUUAGAACCAAUCGGUGGUGGUUUGGUCUGGAUGACAGUUCAUGUCCAGUUUUUUACUCUGACCAAACCAAAAGCCCAACAAGGAAAAAAGGCUCAUGACAUGGAUUUAUAUCUUUAUAUGUAUGUGUUUGUACUUUAGCCCGACUUGCACACCUUCAUUCUGUAGCUCAUUAAAAAAAAGGUGGUUUUGUUUUAUUGUGGCUACACUAUAAAGACAGUAACUUUCUGAACUUUCUCAGUGCCAGUCUUUUACAAACACACAGAUCAAAUGCUGAGCUGGAGUGUAACUGUUUACAGUGCAACAGUCACGCAACACCCACCGCUCCAAAGACUUACAAUUUUAUUGUAAAGGUUGGAAGUGAAAGCCUGUUUUUGCUUCUCUGUGUUCGGGUGCUUUUGUUAUGCAUUGUGUUGUUGAGCAACAAUUGCCACCUCAUAUGGUAGAAGGAACUUUCUUCUCCUGCAGGAAGCAUGCAGCGAAACAUGAAACGAAUCAUUUUACCUUCUGGAUGUUUGUGUUCUCUAAUGUGCAAAAAAAAAACAACAA